This 443-nucleotide ribosomal RNA is filed under the name uncultured Streptococcus sp. Its description in RNAcentral is "bacterial SSU rRNA". It matches the Rfam family "Bacterial small subunit ribosomal RNA", at positions 938 to 1382 of the family's 1533-position model. Lineage: Bacteria; Bacillati; Bacillota; Bacilli; Lactobacillales; Streptococcaceae. The record is from RNAcentral.
CAUGUGGUUUAAUUCGAAGCAACGCGAAGAACCUUACCAGGUCUUGACAUCCCGAUGCUAUUUCUAGAGAUAGAAAGUUACUUCGGUACAUCGGUGACAGGUGGUGCAUGGUUGUCGUCAGCUCGUGUCGUGAGAUGUUGGGUUAAGUCCCGCAACGAGCGCAACCCCUAUUGUUAGUUGCCAUCAUUCAGUUGGGCACUCUAGCGAGACUGCCGGUAAUAAACCGGAGGAAGGUGGGAUGACGUCAAAUCAUCAUGCCCCUUAUGACCUGGGCUACACACGUGCUACAAUGGUUGGUACAACGAGUUGCGAGUCGGUGACGGCGAGCUAAUCUCUUAAAGCCAAUCUCAGUUCGGAUUGUAGGCUGCAACUCGCCUACAUGAAGUCGGAAUCGCUAGUAAUCGCGGAUCAGCACGCCGCGGUCGAAUACGUUCCCGGGCCUU